AGUGAACGCUGGCGGUAGGCCUAACACAUGCAAGUCGAACGGCAGCACAGUAAGAGCUUGCUCUUACGGGUGGCGAGUGGCGGACGGGUGAGGAAUACAUCGGAAUCUACUUUUUCGUGGGGGAUAACGUAGGGAAACUUACGCUAAUACCGCAUACGACCUACGGGUGAAAGCAGUGGAUCUUCGGACCUUUCGCGAUUGAAUGAGCCGAUGUCGGAUUAGCUAGUUGGCUGGGUAAAGGCCCACCAAGGCGACGAUCCGUAGCUGGUCUGAGAGGAUGAUCAGCCACACUGGAACUGAGACACGGUCCAGACUCCUACGGGAGGCAGCAGUGGGGAAUAUUGGACAAUGGGCGCAAGCCUGAUCCAGCCAUACCGCGUGGGUGAUGAAGGCCUUCGGGUUGUAAAGCCCUUUUGUUGGGAAAGAAAAGCAGCAGGUUAAUACCCCGCUGUUCUGACGGUGCCCAAAGAAUAAGCACCGGCUAACUUCGUG
Molecule: ribosomal RNA, 492 nt
Filed under: uncultured bacterium
Lineage: Bacteria
Description: partial 16S ribosomal RNA
Rfam family: Bacterial small subunit ribosomal RNA
Source: RNAcentral